RNAcentral lists this ribosomal RNA (427 nucleotides) under uncultured Tepidimonas sp. RNAcentral's name for it is "bacterial SSU rRNA". It matches the Rfam family "Bacterial small subunit ribosomal RNA", at positions 355 to 774 of the family's 1533-position model. The record is from RNAcentral. Lineage: Bacteria; Pseudomonadati; Pseudomonadota; Betaproteobacteria; Burkholderiales.
UGGGGAAUUUUGGACAAUGGGCGCAAGCCUGAUCCAGCAAUGCCGCGUGCGGGAAGAAGGCCUUCGGGUUGUAAACCGCUUUUGUACGGAACGAAAAGGCUCUGGCUAAUACCUGGGGCUGAUGACGGUACCGUAAGAAUAAGCACCGGCUAACUACGUGCCAGCAGCCGCGGUAAUACGUAGGGUGCGAGCGUUAAUCGGAAUUACUGGGCGUAAAGCGUGCGCAGGCGGUCUUGUAAGACAGAGGUGAAAUCCCUGGGCUCAACCUAGGAAUGGCCUUUGUGACUGCAAGGCUGGAGUGCGGCAGAGGGGGAUGGAAUUCCGCGUGUAGCAGUGAAAUGCGUAGAUAUGCGGAGGAACACCGAUGGCGAAGGCAGUCCCCUGGGCCUGCACUGACGCUCAUGCACGAAAGCGUGGGGAGCAAACA